This 434-nucleotide ribosomal RNA is filed under the name uncultured bacterium. Its description in RNAcentral is "bacterial SSU rRNA". It matches the Rfam family "Bacterial small subunit ribosomal RNA", at positions 29 to 496 of the family's 1533-position model. The record is from RNAcentral.
AUUGAACGCUGGCGGCAUGGCUAAAACAUGCAAGUCGAACGCACCCGCAAGGGUGAGUGGCGAAAGGGUCAGUAAUACGAUCGAACGUGCCCUGAGGUGGGGGAGUAGGCAUGGGAAACGUAGUGCGUAAUACCCCACUGAUGUCUACGGACCAAAGUUUUAAACGUCCUUUGGUAGCGGCGGAUCGUCCUAUCAGGUAGUUGGCGGGGUAAGUGGCCCACCCAAGCCGAAGACGGGUAGCGGGUGUGAGAGCACGGCCCGCGACAUCGGAACUGAGACACUGUCCGGACUCCUACGGGAGGCUGCAGUAACGAAUCUUCCGCAAUGGGCGAAAGCCUGACGGAGCAAUGCCGCGUGUGGGAUGAAGCGGCUUCGCCGUGUAAACCACUGUCAGGGGGCGAGAACCAAUGAUCGCCCCCACGAGGAAGAGCCGG